This 424-nucleotide ribosomal RNA is filed under the name Bacillus subtilis. Its description in RNAcentral is "bacterial SSU rRNA". It matches the Rfam family "Bacterial small subunit ribosomal RNA", at positions 358 to 775 of the family's 1533-position model. RNAcentral also lists the same sequence under 5 other names. Lineage: Bacteria; Bacillati; Bacillota; Bacilli; Caryophanales; Bacillaceae. The record is from RNAcentral.
GGAAUAUUCCACAAUGAGCGAAAGCUUGAUGGAGCGACACAGCGUGUAGGAUGAAUGCCUUAGGGUUGUAAACUACUGUUAUAAGAGAAGAAUAGCUAAAAAAGGAAAUGUUUUUAGUCUGACGGUAUCUUAUCAGAAAGCAGUUGCAAACUAUGUGCCAGCAGCAGCGGUAAUACAUAGACUGCAAGCGUUAUCCGGAAUUAUUGGGCGUAAAGCAUUCGUAGGUUGUUUAUUAAGUUUGGUGUUAAAAACAAAAGCUCAACUUUUGUUUGCAUUAAAUACUAAUAGACUAGAGUUAUAAAGAGGUUAAUGGAACUCCAUAUGAAGCGGUGGAAUGCGUAGAUAUGUGGAAGAACACCAAUGGCGAAGGCAAUUAACUGGAUAUACACUGACACUGAGGGAUGAAAGCGUGGGGAGCAAACAG